This 554-nucleotide long non-coding RNA is filed under the name Prunus persica (peach). RNAcentral describes it as "long non-coding RNA (PPER_LNC007325)". Lineage: Eukaryota; Viridiplantae; Streptophyta; Magnoliopsida; Rosales; Rosaceae. The record is from RNAcentral.
CGAAUGAAUAUGUUGAAUAUUGAAUUGGUUCAUUUUAUAGUUGUGUCAUGUUGGUACCAAAAUGAUACCGAUACUGUACCGAUACCGUUUGGCACGGUAUGGUACGGUACUAACUUUGGCAAACGAUAAUCCCAUACUGUAUCAUACUGGUUUUAAUUUCUGGUAUCGAUAGCGGUACGAGCUUAAUACCGUACCGUGCCCACCCCUAAUCCCGGACAUUUCAAAGGAAAUAUACUAUUAUUUUUCUUCUUUUUUUUCCUUUUCCCAAUCUUUUUUUUUUGUUCGAACCCAACCUUACUUUUUCUCUCCUUUUUCAUUUCAGUUUUGGCUUUUUGUAUAUAUUUUUUUCUUUGUUCCUUUUUCUCUUUACUUCGUGUUUACUUUUUAUUUUGCAUUUUCCUUUUCAUAUGUUUUUCUUUAUUACAUAAUUUUAGCUCAUUCAAUUUUAUAAUUUGUUGUUAUCUAGCUUUUAUCUUAUAUUUUCUUACUUGUUUCAAAUAAUUAUAUUUUGAGUUUUAAAAAAAAGAAGUUAUUGUCUUGCUAUUUAUUUUUUU